This 449-nucleotide ribosomal RNA is filed under the name uncultured crenarchaeote. RNAcentral's name for it is "bacterial SSU rRNA". It matches the Rfam family "Archaeal small subunit ribosomal RNA", at positions 19 to 445 of the family's 1478-position model. Lineage: Archaea; Thermoproteati; Thermoproteota. The record is from RNAcentral.
GGACCCGACCGCUAUCGGGGUGGGGCUAACCCAUGGAAGUCUAGGAGCCGGGGGACGGCCGGCUCCGGCGGACGGCUCAGUAACACGUGGCUAACCUACCCUCGGGAGGGGGAUAACCCCGGGAAACUGGGGAUAAUCCCCCAUAGGUGUAGACUUCUGGAAUGGGUCUACGCCGAAAGGGCUACGGCACCAUCCCUGCCGUAGCCGCCCGAGGAUGGGGCUGCGGCCUAUCAGGUAGUUGGCGGGGUAACGGCCCGCCAAGCCUAUAACGGGUAGGGGCCGUGAGAGCGGGAGCCCCGAGAUGGGCACUGAGACAAGGGCCCAGGCCCUACGGGGUGCACCAGGGGCGAAACUUCCGCAAUGCGGGAAACCGUGACGGAGUCACCCCGAGUGCCACCCGAUGAGGGUGGCUUUUGCCCGGUCUAAAAAGCCGGGCGAAUAAGCGGGGG